This 467-nucleotide long non-coding RNA is filed under the name Bos taurus (domestic cattle). Its description in RNAcentral is "long non-coding RNA NONBTAT017357". The record is from RNAcentral. Lineage: Eukaryota; Metazoa; Chordata; Mammalia; Artiodactyla; Bovidae.
CUGUAACAGGAUAGAUAUUAUGUAAUAAAUUUAUGAAUUAUAUGUCCAUGUUAUAAUUUGUAGACAACUUUUUCUUUCAAUCUUGAAAAUUAAUUGCAAUUUCCAUGAUGCUCUCUUAAGGAUUUCAGAGAAGAAAACAUAGAGUCUAUCAUCACUUUCAGAGCCAUUCUACUGAAUCAUGGAAUGCCUUUCUUCAUUUUAUUAUCCUCUUUCCUCCUGUCUUCUGAUUUCUCAGAGCUCGACCAGCACUUUAACUUACUCCCAGCAGUCAAACAGAAGAUUUUCUUUUUCUUUUUCAAUCAACAUGUUGGAUGGUUUCCUUAACUCUGCCAGCCUCAGAUGAAGCUAUACAUGAAAUAGUAGCAGUAGUAGAUGUUAAGUAGCCAGUGAACUAUAUUCCAAGAGCAGUAAAAGGCUAUGGGAGUAUUAUCCAGAACUUAUUUUGGAAACUCUUAUCACAUGUUUUC